AGCAAAGCUGAUCUACCUCAGCAUGGCCCCAAAGGGUGCCCUGGGUUGAGAUGCUCCGUGGCAGCAGAACCUGAGCACAUCAGUGCCUGGCUCCAGCCAUGUGUUGCCAGCCUUACCGAGAGCACCCAGCCUGGGCUCCCUCUCGUCUGCCUGCGUUACCACCUCCAGCCCCAGAUCCCAGCAAGCCGGAUCCCUGCUCUGCAGUGGAUGGCAGUGCAGGAUGAACUUUAGGUCCGGAGAUUAAAAAAUCGGGCCCUUUAUCCACAGAGGUCAGGGAAAGUCACUUGGACGAAAGGCUUACGGACGGAUUCUUGGCUGGUAUAAUUUGUCCCGGCCCCCAAAAAGUCACAGUAAGGCUCUGCUGCUUUGCACCCACUGAACAUCUGGCCCUCGGCCUGUGGGAAGAAGGAUAAAAUGUGCCUCAUGCUUCAUGCAUUUCUAAGCAGCUGCUUUGAAGGACUCCUCACAUGGGACUGUGUGCUGUUGCUGAAAGCUCUGGAAAGGAUCGAUUGUGCACAAACAUUUCAAAACUUCAGCGUUUACAGGGCAUGAACGCAGGCUGGAAGAAAUCUCUAAUGUAGUAAGCUGCUUCUUGGCAAAUCUCUCUGCAAAUCAGGUGGGUGAGGAAGAGAUUACGUCCAGUCCCAGACGAUUAAGAGCUUCAUGAUGCCUUUCCAUGCGGGAUCUGCUUCACUAGCUCUGACAAGAUCAGGUGGUUCCUGCCUGGUACAGCUAUGUGCAGCAGUCUGGCAAACAUUGGAUGGAUUUUGCUGUGUGAAUAUGUGUGACCUCUCCCUCUGUUAUUUAUUUAUUUAUUUAUUUUAAAUCAUUAUUAAUAAUCAGGAACUACAUCUUUCAAUGUCUGUCUUUAUCUUAGUAUGGUAACUGCUCUAGCAGCUCUGCCAAAGAACUUUUGCAAAGAACAGGCUUAAAAAGUCACCUGGUAAUAUUUUUUGGUAAGAAGUUACAUUUUUUAGGGAUUCAAGUCAGUAAGUGAAAGUCAAAAUUGGCACACUGUAGGACUCCCAUUGCUUCAUCAGUUCCUUAUUAUUUUUCCUUACUAUCGGGUGAUGCCUCCAUCCACUUCUGAGGGGGCUUGACCUAAUAGCUAGGCAUGAGACCUUAUACAUUCCUUAAAAACGUAAUGCAGGAAUACAGGGUUAGUUUAUUUAUUUGUUCCUUUACCUUCAAGUCAUUUUCCAAAUGGAAGCUUUCAGAAAUUAUAUUUUUGUUAAGAUUUUGGUUAUUCCUUCCAGUUAACUGCAUCCCACGCCUGGCUGAAAACCUCAGUGUUUUUAUGAGGAACUGAGACUGAGCUAAGGUUGUACUCUCCUACCUUGUUACCAAAACCCAGCUUCAGCUUCCAGGACUAAAAAAUAUGCCAGACAGCAUUCCUAUGAGUUAAAUGGUUACCCAAAAUAGAAUAAACACAGUUUGCAAUUGAGAAGAAUUAGAGAAGGAUGCCACAGGGCUGGUUUCUCUGUUCACUAAGCAAGUUAGAUAAGCACUUGGACCAUAAGCAGAAGGAAUUAUGUCUAUAGCAGUUUUCUCUUACUGGCAUUAAAUUUUAAAAUUAA
Oxyura jamaicensis (ruddy duck) is the source of this 1577-nucleotide long non-coding RNA. RefSeq lists it as uncharacterized. The transcript is spliced from 4 exons. Lineage: Eukaryota; Metazoa; Chordata; Aves; Anseriformes; Anatidae. The record is from RefSeq and is a predicted model, not a curated record.